Molecule: ribosomal RNA, 478 nt
Filed under: uncultured organism
Description: partial 16S ribosomal RNA
Rfam family: Bacterial small subunit ribosomal RNA
Source: RNAcentral
GUACACUCCUGCGGGAGGCAGCAGUGGGGAAUUUUGGACAAUGGGCGAAAGCCUGAUCCAGCAAUGCCGCGUGCAGGAUGAAGGCCUUCGGGUUGUAAACUGCUUUUGUACGGAACGAAAAAGCUCCUUCUAAUACAGGGGGCCCAUGACGGUACCGUAAGAAUAAGCACCGGCUAACUACGUGCCAGCAGCCGCGGUAAUACGUAGGGUGCGAGCGUUAAUCGGAAUUACUGGGCGUAAAGCGUGCGCAGGCGGUUAUGUAAGACAGAUGUGAAAUCCCCGGGCUCAACCUGGGAACUGCAUUUGUGACUGCAUGGCUAGAGUACGGUAGAGGGGGAUGGAAUUCCGCGUGUAGCAGUGAAAUGCGUAGAUAUGCGGAGGAACACCGAUGGCGAAGGCAAUCCCCUGGACCUGUACUGACGCUCAUGCACGAAAGCGUGGGGAGCAAACAGGAUUAGAAACCCUGGUAGUCCCAUGA